Molecule: long non-coding RNA, 914 nt
Filed under: Phasianus colchicus (ring-necked pheasant)
Lineage: Eukaryota; Metazoa; Chordata; Aves; Galliformes; Phasianidae
Description: lncRNA (ENSPCLG00000002797.1)
Source: RNAcentral
GGGACAUUCCAGGGAUUCCCUGGAAAAGCAUGUAGGUGAAGAAAAUGUCCCCUCCCCCCCCAGCAGUAUAUCAAGGCAGCUGAACCUGUGUCUUUCGCAAAGACCACCACCCUGGGUUUUCUCUCUUCUGGGCCUCAAAUGCUUUGCCAAGACACAACAGCUUUUAUAUUUGGAAUGAAAAGAAGCCUAACAUUUUCUUUUUUUUUCCCCACCCCAAUUUUUUUGAAAAUUAGUAGAGAAUGGCAGCUUAAAUGAUUGCAUAGUAGGAGAGGGCUGUAGUGGUGGUUUUGAGAAGUCUACAUAGGUCAGCUGUCCACAUGCGAAUUGCUAAGACUGGAAGGGAGGACUUGUAUUUAAUUGAUUGCAUUGCACUAUGUCAUUGGGUCUCAUCCAGGUACCAGUUUGGACAGGGAUCAUUAACUAUAGACUGUGCUGUUCAUUUGGUUGGAUCUUCUAGGGCACAGCUCUUUGUUUGCAGUAAAAUAAGUGAAGUAUUGGCACACCAGAUUUCAGAGCACUGACACACUGAUCCUAUUUUCUAUUUUCUAUUAAAGAUAAUGGAGAACAACCUGUUAUCUGUCAUGAGAGCUGGAUCACAUUAAUGGAGUGCUCUUCUCUCAUUAACAAGCAUCCAUACCCAUGCUGCUUAAAGACAGUAUAAGGUGUUAUUAUACUGAGAUCACCUGACUCACCUGAAACAGAAAUACACUCUUCAGUUACUAUUCUGGCUACUGCUUUGGUAUUACAUGAGUACUACCUUCAUUUGAACUCGUUUUUGGAGAGAGUAGAAUUCCGAAGAAAAGUUGCAAUAUAGGAUGGAGGCCUGUAUGUGUAAUCUUACUGAAAUCAAUGAAAGUGUCUAUAAGGUAGGAAGUAUUGGAAUAAAUGCAAGUAAAUGCAAGUACUAGACUUCA